This 129-nucleotide ribosomal RNA is filed under the name Odontella aurita. Lineage: Eukaryota; Bacillariophyta; Thalassiosirophyceae; Eupodiscales; Odontellaceae. The record is from RNAcentral.
AUCCUGAAAACAUUUCGAACUCAAGAGAUAUUUAUAGCCUUUUACAAAAAUAUUAUAAACUAAGAAUUUAGAAAAAGAGUUAUACCAUAAUCAGAUCAGCGACAUAAAAAAAGUUAUGUUGUAAAAAUG